GCCAGGGACCGAGCGGUGUCCUGUCUGCCUGUCUAAACAGGAUUGCCUGGAGACCACUCCGCAGCAGGUGUGUCCCGUGGGGCAGCCACACUGCUACAGUGGUAUCCUCAGGCUCCACGGAGCGGGCAUCAUCUCCAAACUGAGAGUUCAGGGCUGCAUGCCUGAACCAGGCUGCCACCUGCUCAACGGGACCAAGGAAAUUGGACCCGUGAGUGUGAGUGAGGACUGCAGUUGUAAGCCAGACACCCUGAUCUGUCA
Molecule: long non-coding RNA, 258 nt
Organism: Ochotona curzoniae (black-lipped pika)
Lineage: Eukaryota; Metazoa; Chordata; Mammalia; Lagomorpha; Ochotonidae
Exons: 3
Source: RefSeq, a predicted model, not a curated record